This 467-nucleotide ribosomal RNA is filed under the name uncultured bacterium. RNAcentral describes it as "partial 16S ribosomal RNA". It matches the Rfam family "Bacterial small subunit ribosomal RNA", at positions 28 to 506 of the family's 1533-position model. The record is from RNAcentral.
GACGAACGCUGGCGGCGUGCUUAACACAUGCAAGUCGAACGGAAAGGCCCUGCUUUUGUGGGGUGCUCGAGUGGCGAACGGGUGAGUAACACGUGAGUAACCUGCCCUUGACUUUGGGAUAACUUCAGGAAACUGGGGCUAAUACCGGAUAGGAGCUCCUGCUGCAUGGUGGGGGUUGGAAAGUUUCGGCGGUUGGGGAUGGACUCGCGGCUUAUCAGCUUGUUGGUGGGGUAGUGGCUUACCAAGGCUUUGACGGGUAGCCGGCCUGAGAGGGUGGCCGGCCACAUUGGGACUGAGAUACGGCCCAGACUCCUACGGGAGGCAGCAGUGGGGAAUAUUGCACAAUGGGCGGAAGCCUGAUGCAGCAACGCCGCGUGCGGGAUGACGGCCUUCGGGUUGUAAACCGCUUUCGCCUGUGACGAAGCGUGAGUGACGGUAAUGGGUAAAGAAACACCGGCUAACUACGU